GCUGACAUAGCUCCAAUGGUAGAGCAGCUGCCUUGUAAGCAGCGGGUUCUGGGUUCGAGUCCCUGUGUCAGCUCCA
Molecule: transfer RNA, 76 nt
Filed under: Oscillospiraceae bacterium
Lineage: Bacteria; Bacillati; Bacillota; Clostridia; Eubacteriales; Oscillospiraceae
Also listed under: 1 other name
Description: tRNA-Thr
Rfam family: tRNA
About the family: Transfer RNA (tRNA) molecules are approximately 80 nucleotides in length.
Source: RNAcentral